Molecule: ribosomal RNA, 403 nt
Filed under: uncultured bacterium
Lineage: Bacteria
Description: partial 16S ribosomal RNA
Rfam family: Bacterial small subunit ribosomal RNA
Source: RNAcentral
AUUGAACGCUGGCGGCAGGCCUAACACAUGCAAGUCGAGCGAGCGGCGGACGGGUGAGUAAAGUAUGGGGGCUGCCCGAGAGAGGGGGAUAACUCCUGGAAAAGGUAUAUAAUACAGCGUACUAUCGGAGAAUCCAUAUGGGAUUAGCUAGUAGGUGAGGUAAUGGCUCACCUAGGGGACGAUCCCUAGCUGGUCUGAGAGGAUGAUCAGCCACACUGGUACUGAUACACGGCCCAGACUCCUACGGAGGCAGCAGUGGGGAAUAUUGCACAAUGGGCGCAAGCCUGAUGCAGCCAUGCCGCGUGUAUGAAGAAGGCCCUAGGGUUGUAGAGUACUUUCAGUCGGGAGGCGUUACCGACAGAAGAAGCACCGGCUAACUCCGUGCCAGCAGCCGCGGUAAUUC